RNAcentral lists this ribosomal RNA (701 nucleotides) under uncultured bacterium. Its description in RNAcentral is "bacterial SSU rRNA". It matches the Rfam family "Bacterial small subunit ribosomal RNA", at positions 56 to 755 of the family's 1533-position model. The record is from RNAcentral.
UGCAGUCGAACGGCAGCGGACCUUCGGGUGCCGGCGAGUGGCGAACGGGUGAGUAAUACAUCGGAACGUACCCAGUAGCGGGGGAUAGCCCGGCGAAAGCCGGAUUAAUACCGCAUACGCCCUACGGGGGAAAGGGGGGGAUCUUCGGACCUCUCACUAUUGGAGCGGCCGAUGGCUGAUUAGCUAGUUGGUGGGGUAAAGGCCUACCAAGGCGACGAUCAGUAGCUGGUCUGAGAGGACGACCAGCCACACUGGGACUGAGACACGGCCCAGACUCCUACGGGAGGCAGCAGUGGGGAAUUUUGGACAAUGGGCGAAAGCCUGAUCCAGCAAUGCCGCGUGUGCGAAGAAGGCCUUCGGGUUGUAAAGCACUUUUGUCAGGAAAGAAAGGGUCUGGGCUAAUACCCCGGGCCAUUGACGGUACCUGAAGAAUAAGCACCGGCUAACUACGUGCCAGCAGCCGCGGUAAUACGUAGGGUGCAAGCGUUAAUCGGAAUUACUGGGCGUAAAGCGUGCGCAGGUGGUUUGUUAAGACAGUUGUGAAAUCCCCGGGCUCAACCUGGGAACUGCAAUUGUGACUGGCAGACUAGAGUGCGUCAGAGGGGGGUGGAAUUCCACGUGUAGCAGUGAAAUGCGUAGAGAUGUGGAGGAACACCGAUGGCGAAGGCAGCCCCCUGGGAUGACACUGACGCUCAUGUACG